Molecule: ribosomal RNA, 465 nt
Filed under: uncultured bacterium
Lineage: Bacteria
Description: partial 16S ribosomal RNA
Rfam family: Bacterial small subunit ribosomal RNA
Source: RNAcentral
GACGAACGCUGGCGGCGUGCUUAACACAUGCAAGUCGAACGGAAAGGCCCCUUUGGGGGUCCUCGAGUGGCGCACGGGUGAGUAACACGUGCGUAACCUGCCCUUGCCUUCGGGAUAACUUCAGGAAACUGGGGCUAAUACCGGAUAGGAAUCCUUGCUGCAUGGGGGGGGUUGGAAAGCUUCGGCGGUUUUGGAUGGACUCGCGGCUUAUCAGCUUGUUGGUGGGGUAGUGGCUUACCAAGGCGUUGACGGGUAGCCGGCCUGAGAGGGCGACCGGCCACAUUGGGACUGAGAGGCGGCACAGACUGCUACGGGAGGCAGAAGUGGGGAAUAUUGAACAAUGGGCGGAAGCCUGAUGCAGCAACGCCGCGUGCGGGAUGACGGCCUUAGGGUUGUAAAACGCAUUCAUAAGGGGCGAAGCUUGUGGUGACGGUACCUGCAGAAGAAGCACCGGCUAACUACGUG